GGAUAUGAAAACUUUCCCCAAAAUCAUAUUUUUUGACUCUUAUUAGACUAAAUAUUUUAUCAUAGCAGUUUAAUGAUAUUCACACACGUCAAUUUGUCCUGGCCAGGAAAUCAUUCUAGUAUUAUUACUGGUUCAAAAUAAAACACAGCUACAUACCUAGAGUUUCACUGGAAAUCCCUUUCGACUGUUAUAGAACAAGUGAACAACUGCUCCAAUUUUACCUAGAACUAUACCACGAUCCGCAUAUACAUGUAUAUGUCUAUCGUAGUAAUCGAACGGAUAACAAACAUGACUACAGAGAAGGAAGGAAAUGGAUGGAAUAACACCAUACAGAAAGGGAACCAAUGCAAAGAACCUCCCUUACCCAAAAAUGCUAUUUUUUACUGCAGAUAUAUAAGGAUGAAAAACAGAAAUUCAGUUAGUGCCUUGCUUUCAGAAUAUCAAGACCCUGCAGUGGAGAUCCAUGUAGCUCAGUUUUUGUUGCAAUCAUCUUCACAAUCAAAGACCACAACUCUGCCCCUCAACUGAUUAAGAGAAGUAUUGUUCUUGUUUGACUCAUCAAUCUAAGCAAACAGAAACACUUUAAGUCAGUGGUUCACUUAAUCUGGUUACACAUGUAAGUAACUUACCAAAUAAAGAGGAAUUAAUCUCUGAAGGUUUCAUGAAAAUUCUUAGUGGAAUUCGUUAGAACGACUGACCUUAACCCAUCCGGUGUGCUCCCUAUGUAGGCAUUCUAGUAUUCCACCUGUCGGUCACAUUCGCAGAUGCCUUGCCUGAGGUGAGAUGCCACAUCAAUCAUAAAUAGACUUGAAGCAGUGAUGCACUGGUAUGUGCAUAACCAUGGCCAAACUUCAUCAAAUUUACCAAAUCGAUUAAUUUUAGUUGAAAACUGAAUUAAAAAUUUGGAGAUCAGUGUGACCACUUGCCAUUCUCUUGGACUAACCAGGGAGGCACCCAUAGGUUUCUAUCAAGUACUGCAGCACAACUCUUAAUUCUUUUCCGUUGCCUGGAUAAGCCGUUGGGACGUACUGCACUCAAGAGAAAAGGUUGCAUGAACCAGAUCGAAUUCCCAGUUCACCUACUUCAAGUCCAAAAACAGCUGAAGCAAGUAGCAUAUUUGACAAAAAUAAUUGGAAACUUUUAACUCACUUGUUGCUGGGUCUGUUCUAGAACCUGCAUCACAGAAAAAAAUAUCCUGUAAGUACAUGUUUUGAAAGCUUCGACAAACUAUUUGAUCAGUAUAUAUGUUUAACGAAUCAAAUUCCAAAUUUUAGUUGUCGAACUCAUGAACAAUGCAGCAAUAUACCGAUGCAGAUAUAAAAUUUGCUUACCCCAGUCGACGGCCACUACACUCCUUCCCUAUGAUUGUCAGCCCACACCUCCAGGCAAGAUGAUAAUGAUAUUAUAAUGCAUAGUUACGCUGGCACUUGUGAAGACGGAACUUCAGGUCAUUGAACAUUUGUGCAGUC
This 1469-nucleotide long non-coding RNA is filed under the name Triticum aestivum (bread wheat). RNAcentral describes it as "long non-coding RNA (TAES_LNC022451)". The record is from RNAcentral. Lineage: Eukaryota; Viridiplantae; Streptophyta; Magnoliopsida; Poales; Poaceae.